Molecule: non-coding RNA, 1298 nt
Organism: Physcomitrium patens
Lineage: Eukaryota; Viridiplantae; Streptophyta; Bryopsida; Funariales; Funariaceae
Source: RefSeq, a predicted model, not a curated record
GCAUAUUCUAUGUACUGAAAGCUUUGACUUAUUUAGCUCUUAACUAAUACACUGGAAGUGCCCUCCCCUUGGCUUCAGGCACAUUCUCAUUUGGAACAUAAUGUUAUUCAUCCAGUUUUCGUAACAGAGACGCUGCAGUCCGCAUGGCAUGGCACCUACUCUCGAUCGAUCGAUCACGAUCACCCAAUUCCAAAGUCUAGACAUGUUGCACAAGCUUUGGAUCUGUCGCCACUCUCCCUCACGAUUCGAGCGGUGAUGGUGUUGUUGUUGUGCCCAUCGGCAUACAUAUCUGUGCCAUGCGAUCUAUCAAUGCACGCAAUGGGUGUUGGUGGUGAUGGUGCCCUUGUGGCAGGACUCAGUGCUUGGAUGUGGGCUACGCUCCCGUGAACCUUGCCGUUGCAUGGCUGCAAGCAACGUAGUGCUCUCCGGAAGAUAAGCGAGAAGCUGAUUUGGGUAAAGGGCGUGCUUUAGCGACGACAGCAUGGGUGCCCUCGCCGUGAUGUGCGGCUUGUCCUCAAUCGCAUCGCCACACACCUACAGAUCAAGCGCCUUCGAAAGGUUCUGCCUGACUGUGAGCUAUGAAUGUCAUCCCUCGGGUGUUUCAGUGGUGACCCAAUUCUAUUAAGCUUGAUUAUCGAACUGUGAUAGGACUGUUGUUUUCGCCUAGUGAUGUUUUUGCACUGUGUUCCUUUGGGAUGUCUCGACGAUGAGAUGGUCGUGUCAGUUUGGUGGUUCCCUCAGAGACCGUCGUGCUUUGAGUGACCCCGGUGUGUAGCAGCUGCCUGGUUGUAUUACAACCCCGCCUACGGCCCCUUGUGCUGUUUUGUAAAGGUGCUCUACCGUUGAAGAGUCUUACAGUUUCCCAGUUUAGGGUUUUUUGUUGAUGUGCAACUCAAUCUAGACUGCUGUUUGCGGUUAUUGAGUAUCAGAUCUCAGUAGGGUAUGGACAGCCAUUUGAUGAUUGCACGGUGGUUAAUUUUGAAGUGGCUAACGUGGCUAACGGUUGUGGAAUACACUUACGAAGGACUUCUUCCGAUGCGCGCUAACUAAUUCCUGCUUCAAUUUAUGGCCACAGAUUCUUUUUUUCUCCUCUUCGUUAACGAUUAGUUUUACAGCUAAAUUUAAGGGUGAGGACUAUACAAGCUAGCCUUUCAUUUGUAUAAGCUGAUCCAUGAGCUAGGUCUGAACUGCCUGGAUGACGUAAUAAUCUUUUCAUGAGUUGAGAUUUCUGAGGUCUAUGUAUGGGAAAAAUAAAACAAAAUAAAUAAAUAAAUAAAAAACAUCGUACUGAAAAUGAA